This 382-nucleotide ribosomal RNA is filed under the name uncultured eukaryote. Its description in RNAcentral is "partial 18S ribosomal RNA". It matches the Rfam family "Eukaryotic small subunit ribosomal RNA", at positions 592 to 976 of the family's 1831-position model. The record is from RNAcentral.
CAAUAGCGUAUAUUAAAGUUGUUGCAGUUAAAAAGCUCGUAGUUGGAUUUCUGGUUGAAGCGACCGGUCGGGCGUUGAUUCGUCUGCACUGGAGUCGGUUUUGGCCAUCCUCUAGGAAAGUGCGUCUGGUAUUAAGUUAUCGGGCGUAUGAUCCUGGUCUUUUACUGUGAAAAAAUUAGAGUGUUUAAAGCAGGCCUUCGCCUUGAAUACAUUAGCAUGGAAUAAUAAGAUAGGACUUUGGUCUAUUUUGUUGGUUUGCAGACCGAAGUAAUGAUUAAUAGGGAUAGUUGGGGGUAUUUAUAUUCCGAUGUCAGAGGUGAAAUUCUUAGAUUUUCGGAAGAUAAACUUAUGCGAAAGCAUUUACCGAGGAUGUUUUCAUUAA